CCAGACUCCUACGGGAGGCAGCAGUGGGGAAUAUUGCACAAUGGGGGGAACCCUGAUGCAGCGACGCCGCGUGAGCGAAGAAGUAUCUCGGUAUGUAAAGCUCUAUCAGCAGGGAAGAAAAUGACGGUACCUGACUAAGAAGCUCCGGCUAAAUACGUGCCAGCAGCCGCGGUAAUACGUAUGGAGCAAGCGUUAUCCGGAUUUACUGGGCGUAAAGGGAGCGCAGGCGGCGCGCCAAGUCUGGUGUGAAACCCCGGGGCUCAACCCCGGGACUGCUUUGGAAACUGGCGGGCUAGAGUGUCGGAGGGGCAAGCGGAAUUCCUGGUGUAGCGGUGAAAUGCGUAGAUAUCAGGAGGAACACCGGUGGCGAAGGCGGCCUGCUGGACGACAACUGACGUUGAGGCUCGAAAGCGUGGGGAGCAAACAGGAUUAGAUACCCGGGUA
Molecule: ribosomal RNA, 444 nt
Filed under: uncultured bacterium
Lineage: Bacteria
Description: bacterial SSU rRNA
Rfam family: Bacterial small subunit ribosomal RNA
Source: RNAcentral